Molecule: non-coding RNA, 450 nt
Organism: Parasteatoda tepidariorum (common house spider)
Lineage: Eukaryota; Metazoa; Arthropoda; Arachnida; Araneae; Theridiidae
Source: RefSeq, a predicted model, not a curated record
CAUAAAUGCAUUAUCCUUUGUAGGUAUCCCAAGACUGGAAUAUUUUUGGGCUUGCUAUUUUACUUUGGACCAAGUGUUUACUUCUUUUAUCUUUCUCUCGAACACCAAUUUCCAUUUGCAUCCUAUAAUUCACUAAGAUAUACCCAUUUAACCGAAAAAUUCAUGUCAACUGUUUACGUAUCCUCUCCUUACCACCUUCCCGCCAAUUUAAUUGGAAUGUUUGCAGGUUGGACAUGCGUUAAAUUUGGGAAACAGAAACUAACGAAGAUUUGGCUUCUUGUUGGAUGGAUUGUUUCGAUAUUUUGCUUCUUCUUUGCAACAGCUUUAAUUUAUAUGCCGAUAAAAAACUUCAAGAUAAUGGCCUUCUACGACAGUUUAAGAAUCUCCGGAAUGAGUUUGGCCACAAGUUGGAUACUUUUUAUUUGUACGACUGGUCAAGGAGGUGCCUGA